Molecule: ribosomal RNA, 662 nt
Filed under: Uvaria vietnamensis
Lineage: Eukaryota; Viridiplantae; Streptophyta; Magnoliopsida; Magnoliales; Annonaceae
Description: eukaryotic LSU rRNA
Rfam family: 5.8S ribosomal RNA (bases 349-503)
Source: RNAcentral
GAAGUCCACUGAACCUUAUCAUUUAGAGGAAGGAGAAGUCGUAACAAGGUUUCCGUAGGUGAACCUGCGGAAGGAUCAUUGUCGAUGGCCGAACGAGGGUAGACCCGCGAACACCGUGACCCCGAUCGAACGGGGGGACGCUGCGCACGUGGCGGCACCGGCGCGAGGCCGGGCGUGGCGCGGCCGGCGAUCCCCUCUCCGCCGCGGCACCGGCGCGAGGCCGGGCGCGGCGAACGACCGACGCACCCACGGCGCGAGUGGCGCCAAGGACCCCGAAGAGGAGCGCGGAGGAGGAGGGCGGGCGCAACGCCGUCCCCUCCGCCGCGAGAGGGAAAAUAUGAGUCGGACGACUCUCGGCAACGGAUAUCUCGGCUCUCGCAUCGAUGAAGAACGUAGCGAAAUGCGAUACUUGGUGUGAAUUGCAGAAUCCCGCGAACCAUCGAGUCUUUGAACGCAAGUUGCGCCCGAGGCCACCCGGCCGAGGCACGCCUGCCUGGGCGUCACGCACCGCGCUGCCCGCACCGCCCCCGACGGGGCCUGCGGGCCGAGAUUGGCCGACCGUGCGCCUCGCGCGCCCCGCGGGCCGAAAGCUAUGUAUCUCUCGGAGUGCCCCCGGAGGGGGCGUCGACAGCGUUGGUGGUCUCUAGGCUCCCGGAACCGGU